This 381-nucleotide ribosomal RNA is filed under the name uncultured bacterium. Its description in RNAcentral is "bacterial SSU rRNA". It matches the Rfam family "Bacterial small subunit ribosomal RNA", at positions 28 to 402 of the family's 1533-position model. The record is from RNAcentral.
GACGAACGCUGGCGGCGUGCUUAACACAUGCAAGUCGAGCGGUAAGGCCCUUUCGGGGGUACACGAGCGGCGAACGGGUGAGUAACACGUGGGUGACCUGCCCUUAGCUCUGGGAUAAGCCUGGGAAACUGGGUCUAAAUACCGGGAUAUGACUCCAUGACGCAUGUUGUGGGGUGGAAAGCCUUGUGCGGCUAGGGAUGGGCCUGCGGCCUAUCAGCUUGUUGGUGGGGUGAUGGGCCUACCAAGGCGACGACGGGUAGCCGGCCUGAGAGGGCGACCGGCCGACACUGGGACUGAGACACGGGCCCAGACUCCUACGGGAGGCAGGCAGUGGGGAAUCUUGGCGCAAUGGGCGAAAGCCUGAACGCAGCGACGCCGCGU